This 106-nucleotide microRNA precursor is filed under the name Carica papaya (papaya). Its description in RNAcentral is "miR398 stem-loop (cpa-MIR398)". Its record names the gene cpa-MIR398. Lineage: Eukaryota; Viridiplantae; Streptophyta; Magnoliopsida; Brassicales; Caricaceae. The record is from miRBase by way of RNAcentral.
GGGACGACAUGAGAUCACACGAAAGGAAGCCCGCAGAAGGACAAAACCGUAAAUGUAAUCUGGUGGUAUAAUCCUCUGUGCUUCGUGUGUUCUCAGGUCGCCCCUG